This 1011-nucleotide long non-coding RNA is filed under the name Equus caballus (horse). Its description in RNAcentral is "lncRNA (ENSECAG00000048818.1)". The record is from RNAcentral. Lineage: Eukaryota; Metazoa; Chordata; Mammalia; Perissodactyla; Equidae.
GGGCAUAUAUGAUGCACACGUGGAUUUCUAUAGGAUAAAUGCCAGCUUCUUCCCCCGUGCAGUUGUUUCCUCCCAUUCCACGGGGCUGGUCCGGGAAAUUGUGAAGGAAUUCUUUGAUGCCUUCCUCCAAGGUUUAGGAAUGACAAAUGGAGCCUUAGGACAACGCUGGCCCGACAGAAGUUUGCUAAACCUGGUCUUCCCUCUCCCGUCUGCUCUCUCUGACUCAGCUCCAGCUCCUCUCUCCUUCUGGCCCCCGAACUCAGCCUUCCCUUCCCUCGGGGCCUUGAGACAAGCUACCUGGCUGUGGCAAUGACCGUUUAAGGAGUGACCCCUACAAGGCAUUUCUGUUUCAACGGCUGACUCUUGAGCCGUAACCCCCAAAAGUGUGGAUGGCAGUGCCGAGACUGGCGGUUAGGGGGUGCUAUCACUCAGAUGGGGCCUGCCCUGAAUAUUAGCCCUUGAUUUGCCACCCCGCUCCCUGCCUGACCCCAGCAGGUUCCCCGCCACCCAAACCCUCCAGCGUCUGAGAAACACAACUUGCCCUGGUCACCCAUCCCCCCACACACACACAGACAGUGCUGACCUUCAGGGUAACAUUGAAACCUCUUCACUGUAAGGUGUGUGUGGAAAAGAAACUGAGCAUCUGAAACCCCAGCUCCUGCACUCCACCCAUUGCCCAAGCGGCCGCCCACAGCAGUUACAAAGAGACACACGUCCACUGGCUGCAUCCAGACUUCGAACAGUUCCUUGAAUCUUGGCCUGCCUUCCAGCCGUGAAUCCUGAAGCAGCUCAAGCAUUCUGUCUGGGGCCACACCCUCCCUUCCUUGGCAGGGUCUCCACUCCCCCAACUUCCACAGGCCCCUCAGCCUCCCCACACGGGGGUUUUAUUGACAGUCACUCGACAGUGGACAAGGCCCUUGACAAAGGAGACCAGGAUGGCCCAUCGGCCUCGCUCUCCUGAAAGAGGAUUGAGGAAGCCAGAGUGUUUCCGUCAAUGUUUUCCCAACUCAA